GGGUUUGUGGCUCAGUGGUAGAGCACUUGCCUAGCAUGUGUGAAGCGCUGGGUUCAAUUCUCAGCACCA
Molecule: transfer RNA, 69 nt
Filed under: Ictidomys tridecemlineatus (thirteen-lined ground squirrel)
Lineage: Eukaryota; Metazoa; Chordata; Mammalia; Rodentia; Sciuridae
Description: Spermophilus tridecemlineatus (thirteen-lined ground squirrel) tRNA
Rfam family: tRNA
About the family: Transfer RNA (tRNA) molecules are approximately 80 nucleotides in length.
Source: Rfam by way of RNAcentral